AUGUAUAUUAUUGGCACUAAAAUAGCUUGUUUGCUUUAUCUUACAUUAUUAUUUUUUAGCCUUUUUAUUUUUUUUUUUUUUUUAUUGUUACUUCUGUUUAGGUUUAUGAAAACUAGAUUUGUUGAACCCACUUCGGAGGAUAAUAUACAAAAGAUUUUACAAAAAAUUAAAGAAGAACGAGAAGCAACAAGAAAAAAAAAGAAAGAAGAAGAAGAAAAAGAAGAAAAUAAAAAUAAAAAGUACGUAAAAAAAAGAGAUAUAACAUUACAGGAGAAGACAUUUUAUGAAGAGGCGUACGCUUUAGACAAAAUUAGUUCUCAGACAGAUUUAACAACUUCUACUAACAAUGAAAAAAUAGUAAACAAUGUUACUAAAAGUGUAGAAAAUGCUAAAUUAAAUGAAGCAUGGUCAAUUUUAAGAAUUUGCCUAUAUUCUUAUUUUGAAGAUUUAGAUAUUAAAAAAAAAGGGAAGCUAAAGCAAAACUAUUAUGUGGAAAUUUUAAAAAUGGUUAAUCACAAAAUGUGUAUUAGUUUUUACUAUUUACAAAACUUAUUAGAAAAAAAAGAAAAGACCUAUUUAGACAUAUCACCACAAGAGUACGUUUUUUUUGAGUCAGAUGAUAUAGCGUAUUCUAUUAAUGGAGAUAGUAGUGAAGAAGACAACAUUAGCGAUGAUGAUGUGGUAAAAGAAAAAAAAAAAGACAAAAAAGAAAAGGAUAGUAAUAACAAUAAUGAUUUAAUUAAUAGCAGUAGCAAUAACGAUAAAGCUGAUGAUAAAGAUGACGAUAAAGCUGACGAUAAAGCUGACGGCAAUAGCGAAAACGAUCAUGAAAUCGUAAAAGAUGAAGCCAAAUAUUUAUCUGAGUUAUUUAACAUUAAUAAUAAAGAAGUUGAUUUAAUUAAAUAUAUUAAUUUAUAUAAAAAUAAUAAUUUUAAUGGAUGUGAUAUAUUUUUUGAAAAUGUAGAUAAUAUAAAAGUUGAUUCAGAUAUAUUUAUUUUCAAUAAAAACAAUGAAUAUUAUAAAUAUAUAUUCACAAAUAACUAUUAUGAUUUUUUAUUAUAUAUAUCUUAUGCUAAUGAAGAAGAACACACUGGGUAUAUACAGUAUAAUAACUACCUACAAUAUUUGCCAAGGUAUUUAUACGAAUUAAAAAUAAAUAGAGACUAUUAUAAUAUAAUGACUAUAGACGAUUUAGUUUUAUAUAAACAAUUAAUUUAUGAAUGUUAUUCAAACGAAUUAACGUAUAUGUUCGAGAUUUUUUGUUUCCAGUUUAAACAAUUUGAUACAGGUAACAGCGGAUAUGUACAUAGAAAUGUUUUAAAAAAAACCCUUUUGCAAAAUGACCAUAUAAUAUCAAGGCAAGAAUAUAAGCUGUUACUUAAUGUAUUUUCUUUUAACGAAGACAAUUAUGUGUAUUACAAAAAUUUAAAGGAGGUCGUUUUGCGGCUACGAUUUGAAGGCAUAAAAAACAGUAUAUUUGAAAAAGAUAAAAGGUUACUACAAAAAUACUUAUGUGAAGAGCUAUUAAAGCAUAAUUUGAAAAAUCAAAAAAAAAUCCAUAUAUGUAAUUGUAAAAACGUGUUAGAUGGCUGUGACAAAUUAUAUCUAAGUAAAAAUAUUAUUCAUAUAAUAUUAUGUUCGUUAAAAUUGGAUCAAAAUUUAAACGUCGAUAUCUUAGUAUUUUUACAAAUUUCGGUUACCAUCAUAAUUAACAGUAUUAACUUAAAAUAUAUGCAAAAAAUAUACAACAUUAUAAUUAAUGAAAAAGAAAAAAAAAAAGAGUAUCAAGACAACGAUUCGAAAAGUGGGGAUCAGAAAAAUAAUGACACUAUUAGCAAGAGGAAAGAAGCGACAAACAUACCGGCAUUAGAACUGGUAGAAAGAACAUUAACAAAGCUGUUUAAUGUGUUAGAUGAAAAUAAUGAAGGUAUAUAAUUUUGUUUCCCCCACUCACCCCAAAAGGGCGCUUAUACAUAUAUAUAUAUACAUGUAUUUAUUCAUUUAGUUUUACUUCUUAUUCAUUUUUUGUUUUCCGUUUAUUCCUACCAUUUAUAAAUUCUCUCAUUCAGGCCUUCUGAAAAUAAGUGAUUUUAUUGAAACGUUGCUCGAAAUGAACCAAAAAAAAAAAAUUAUUGACAUAAAGGAAAUAUGCAAAUUAAGUAAAAAUGAACUACAAGGUUUUGUAGCAGAAAUAAGUACCAAGUCGUCAAAAAGGAAUUUCCUACAUGAACAAAUUAAGAAUAAUAGGAGAUUCGAGUUUGAUGCAGAACAAAAAAUUCAUUAUGCUUCGCAUAUACAUAAAUGGUGUUCAAAAACGUAUCAAAUAAGGUAAAAAUAGUG
RNAcentral lists this long non-coding RNA (2340 nucleotides) under Piliocolobus tephrosceles (Ugandan red Colobus). RNAcentral describes it as "lncRNA (ENSPTEG00000006368.1)". The record is from RNAcentral. Lineage: Eukaryota; Metazoa; Chordata; Mammalia; Primates; Cercopithecidae.